This is a non-coding RNA of Oncorhynchus mykiss (rainbow trout), 610 nucleotides long. NCBI's taxonomy places the organism in Eukaryota, Metazoa, Chordata, Actinopteri, Salmoniformes, Salmonidae. The record is from RefSeq and is a predicted model, not a curated record.
AUACUACACACCAAGCAGUACAGACCUGACAUGAUGAUACUACAGGUACCACACCAAGCAGUACAGACCUGACAUGAUGAUACUACAGGUACCACACCAAGCAGUACAGACCUGACAUGAUGAUACUACAGGUACCACACCAAGCAGUACAGACCUGACAUGAUGAUACUACAGGUACCACACCAAGCAGUACAGACCUGCCAUGAUGAUACUACAGGUACCACACCAAGCAGUACAGACCUGACAUGAUGAUACUACAGGUACCACACCAAGCAGUACAGACCUGACAUGAUGAUACUACAGGUACCACACCAAGCAGUACAGACCUGACAUGAUGAUACUACAGGUACCACACCAAGCAGUACAGACCUGACAUGAUGAUACUACAGGUACCACACCAAGCAGUACAGACCUGCCAUGAUGAUACUACAGGUACCACACCAAGCAGUACAGACCUGACAUGAUGAUACUACAGGUACCACACCAAGCAGUACAGACCUGCCAUGAUGAUACUACAGGUACCACACCAAGCAGUACAGACCUGACAUGAUGAUACUACAGGUACCACACCAAGCAGUACAGACCUGACAUGAUGAUACUACAGGGACCA